Molecule: long non-coding RNA, 702 nt
Organism: Amphiprion ocellaris (clown anemonefish)
Lineage: Eukaryota; Metazoa; Chordata; Actinopteri; Pomacentridae
Exons: 3
Source: RefSeq, a predicted model, not a curated record
UACCCUAUUUUUUUCAUUACAACUGUAAGGACCUUCCUCUCCAACCCUAACCCUACCCCUAGACUUUCUAUUGGAUUAAUACACGUUUUCAAGACCAGAACAUGUGUGGUCAUGUAGCUCUACGGGUUACGCCUGUGAUGUUCAGGACUCAUUCUUGUAUUUUACACUCUCUGAUGUUUUCUUUUCUUCAUGUCUAGUGUGUGAAUCAUUUCUGGUUUGUCUCUUCAGUGUCUCGUGGCCCUGCAGCUUCUCCUCCUCCACCUCCUCCUGAAGCCUUCAUCUUCUUCAUCAUCAGCUGCUCAGUGACUCUGUUGGACGUCUCACCGUGUGGCAGCAGCUCAGGAGUUUGCAGUCAACCAAGGCCGACUCAGAAUCACUCCCACCGGGAAGAUCUGUGAAGGAAGGUCCACCCGGCUGGUCCAGAAGCUCCGGUCCAGCAGAGCAGCGUCAGGAUGGAGACGUAACCGGUGUUGAUGUCACCGCCUUGACGAAUAGAAGAAAAGCCUGUAUUUGGGUAUGUAGGACUGGUAGUCCAGAGGUAGUGGUGGUGGUUUGGAACCUGGAGAGUGCAGGUUUGAUCCCCCACCCUGCUCAAGCUUUUUUUUUUACAUUUGGGCAAAAUCUGCCUUCGUGCCUUCGUGCCUUCGUGCCUUCGUGCCUUCGUGCCUUCGUGCCUUCGUGCCUUCGUGCCUUCGUGCCUUC